This 305-nucleotide ribosomal RNA is filed under the name uncultured bacterium. RNAcentral describes it as "partial 16S ribosomal RNA". It matches the Rfam family "Bacterial small subunit ribosomal RNA", at positions 508 to 807 of the family's 1533-position model. The record is from RNAcentral.
ACAGCAGUCGCCGCGGGAAUACGUAGGGUGCAAGCGUUAUCCGGAAUCAUUGGGUUUAAAGGGUCCGUAGGCGGUCUUGUAAGUCAGUGGUGAAAGCCCAUCGCUCAACGGUGGAACGGCCAUUGAUACUGCAGGACUUGAAUUAUUGGGAAGUAACUAGAAUAUGUAGUGUAGCGGUGAAAUGCUUAGAGAUUACAUGGAAUACCAAUUGCGAAGGCAGGUUACUACCAAUUGAUUGACGCUGAUGGACGAAAGCGUGGGUAGCGAACAGGAUUAGAUACCCGAGUAGUCCCUGUCUCUUAUAC